Molecule: long non-coding RNA, 1585 nt
Filed under: Homo sapiens (human)
Lineage: Eukaryota; Metazoa; Chordata; Mammalia; Primates; Hominidae
Description: HSALNT0220265
Source: RNAcentral
GAGAGAACAGACAGGAUACAAUGGCAUUGCCCUGAGAAGGCUUUUUAUCUGGCUGAGGCAAGGACUUAGAGACACAGGUAAGCAACAGUCAAGUACAAAACAGCACAUGGUUAGGUGCCAGGUGAGUGAGGAGACCAGAUGGACAUUUCAGGUACUCCAUGUAAAGACACUGGCAAUUUCUGAAGCUCCUUGUGGCCCCAAGAGGCCCAAAAGCUGUCUCAAUCUGGGAAGACACCAAAUCUGUAUGAUCUCUCCUUUUUCCUUAACCCCACUUCUCAGGUCCUCCUCUCAGCCCUGUUCCUUCCUGUCCCCAAAGCUCUGCCUUAUCCUCUUCCCCUCUAACCCAGUGCUGUCCAAUGGAGAUAGAAUGUGAGCCAUGUAAGUAAUCUUAAAUUGUGUAACACACAUAUUAAAAAGAGAAACAGGUGAAAUUAAUCUUAAUAUAUUUAAUUCAACCCAGCAUAUUCUAAAUGAAAUUAUUUCAUCAUGUAAUCAAUAUUUUAAAAAUGAUUGAGAAUUGUACAUUCUUCACAUCAAGCUUUCAAAAUCUGGUGUGUGUUUUAUCCUUACAGCACAUCUCAAUUCAGACCAGCCACACUCCAGUGCUCGACAGCCACCUGUGGCUCACGGCCUGUACUGGACAGUGCAGCUGGAACCCAAUGGAUGAUUUUUUAAGGUCCCACUUAUGUCCCUCACUCAUCUACAGGCUCCAUGAAGUCAGAUAUCAAACAUUUCCAUUGCUACAUUCUCCAGGCCUAAUCUGCAUCCUCCCAGAGUGGCUCUUCAGUGAACAUCUACUGAAUUGAACAGACAUGCACAGAGCAGAUGGACAGCACUAGGGACUUGUCCUCUGGCCCCAGAGGCCCAUGAAAGAGUAUCCAGGCAGGCUGGACUAUGCUGGGAAGGGGGAAGGCCUGGGCCCUCAUCGAAAGGGAAGGACCCCAAAAGGAAGAGAAACCCAUCAACAUCCUGUUAACUAAACGGAGAGAAAUGCUGUUUAGGGGAAAAAAAAAAAAACAUAAUAAAUAAAAUUCCUGAGAGAAGCUGCUAAGUCAGGGAGCACCACACUCAUCCCCUUCUGCAAGAGAAUGAGAAGAUGGAGCUACAGCUCCCGUCCCACAUCAGCAUCUGGUGUGGCCUUCCCGCCACGGGCCAUGGGUCGGACCUGGCUCCACAGACAAAGGGGCUGCUUAGGCUGGGCUUGAAAUAGGCUGAGUGAAAACCUGCGAGCCCCUGGCUGCUUCCCUGUGCAUGGAAAGGAGCUGUUGGUGAGUAUGGAGAUCUCUGCCCUUGUCAGAGGAAGGCUUCCUCAUCACAAGGCAGGGCAGGUGUCUGUGCCCAAGAGCUGAGCAGAGAACAAGCAGCCAGUGGAGGCUUUCGCCUGAACUGUGCAAUCCUUACCUGAUUGGGAAGUGCAAGUGACAAUUAAUAAAUUAAUAGCGAGUCACUUUAUGUAAAUACCUCUCUUUUUGUACACUAUAUUUAGAGAAACAAACUGCUUUGGCAUUUAGAGAUAAAUUUUAUGUAAGAGUUUAUUGCUGCUUCUGCUGUUGUUACUGUUCAUCAUCCAGAUAAUAAAAGCAAA